This 391-nucleotide unclassified non-coding RNA is filed under the name soil metagenome. RNAcentral's name for it is "partial contains 5.8S ribosomal RNA, internal transcribed spacer 2, and large subunit ribosomal RNA". The stretch from base 1 to 122 matches the Rfam family "5.8S ribosomal RNA", at positions 35 to 154 of the family's 154-position model. The record is from RNAcentral.
GAUGAAGAACGUAGCGAAAUGCGAUACUUGGUGUGAAUUGCAGGAUCCCGUGAACCAUCGAGUCUUUGAACGCAAGUUGCGCCCGAAGCCAUUAGGCCGAGGGCACGCCUGCCUGGGCGUCACACGUCGUUGCCCCCCCAUCUACUCCUUCGGGAUUGCGGGGGGCGGAUGAUGGCCUCUCGUGCGCCUCGUCGCGCGGUUGGCCUAAAUGCCAAGUCCUCGGCGACGCACGCCACGACAAUCGGUGGUUGCGAAACCUCGGUUGCCUGUCGUGUGCGGUCGUCGCGCAUCGAGGGCUCGAAAAAAUUGCCGGGCUUCGGCUCGACUUUCAACGCGACCCCAGGUCAGGCGGGGUUACCCGCUGAAUUUAAGCAUAUCAAUAAGCGGAGGA